CGGGUGUGGCCCCGGUCUAAGUUCCUUGGAACAGGACGUCACAGAGGGUGAGAAUCCCGUACGUGCCCGGUGGCCGCGCCCGUGUGAAGCUCUUUCGACGAGUCGAGUUGUUUGG
Molecule: ribosomal RNA, 115 nt
Filed under: Myxotrichum deflexum
Lineage: Eukaryota; Fungi; Ascomycota; Leotiomycetes; Myxotrichaceae
Description: partial large subunit ribosomal RNA
Rfam family: Eukaryotic large subunit ribosomal RNA
Source: RNAcentral